CACACCAUGCACCACAAGUAGCAUGGUGAAAUGUAAGUUUACCACUAUGAUUUGUUUUCAUUAUAUGACUUAAUAAAUUACUAUCUCUGUCACUUAAAGGCUUCUUCAACAUGCUUAAUGUUUUUAUGCAGGCUGACUUUAUUGAACUGCAUAUACUGUGUAGGCUACUGUGUGCUUAGUUGUAUUACUGUGACAUGUUUUUUCCUGCAUUUUUGUUUUUUCUUUGAUAAUAUUGAGAAUUUUAUGGGUUGUAAUUUCCUAUAGAUACUGAUAGAGGGAUUGUAUUAUUGAACCCUACAGAAAGGACACAGUCUGUCACAUCUAAGUGUUUUGUUGUCAGGUACCUUUAGUUGCUUUUAGAUAUUUUUUUUCUUUUUGCCAGAUAAUGUAUACUUGCAUAUUUCCUCUAUAGGUUGAAGAUGACGAUGAAGAGACCACAUCUGCUGUGACAGAAGUGGACAAUGCUGGUAGAUCCACUGAGGUAUGAUGCAUACCAUUAUAAUGCAUGCCCCCUUUUUACAUUAGAGUAACAAACUGUCAUUGUCCUUUCACAGUACAUACCUGGGGAUUUGCCCACAGAUGACGGUCCUUCAACCUCAAUGCACGAUCUAAGCAGUUUGCCAGCAAAGGAGCUGUAUAAGGUCCAUCUUCAAAAACAAAUAAGAAAAAGUGACAUGGCGAUGGACCUUAUACAGCUUCAAAUGGAGGCUAUCCAUAAAAAAAGCAACAUUAGAAAUAGAAUUACUGGAGCAUCGCCUUAAGGAAAUAAAGAAAUGAACCACACCGCAGACCAGUGCACACAAUUUAAUAAAAGUAAUUCUGAGAAAUCCUG
Polypterus senegalus (gray bichir) is the source of this 832-nucleotide long non-coding RNA. RefSeq lists it as uncharacterized. NCBI's taxonomy places the organism in Eukaryota, Metazoa, Chordata, Cladistia, Polypteriformes, Polypteridae. The record is from RefSeq and is a predicted model, not a curated record. The transcript is spliced from 3 exons.